RNAcentral lists this transfer RNA (70 nucleotides) under Plectrocnemia tortosa. RNAcentral's name for it is "tRNA-Lys". The record is from RNAcentral. Lineage: Eukaryota; Metazoa; Arthropoda; Insecta; Trichoptera; Polycentropodidae.
CACUAAAUAACUUAAAGUAAGUAUAAGCCUCUUAAGCUUUAAAAUAAUAAUUAACAACUAUUUUUAGUGA